GACGAACGCUGGCGGCGUGCUUAACACAUGCAAGUCGAACGGAAAGGCCCGGCUUUUGUGGGGUGCUCGAGUGGCGAGCGGGUGUGUAACACGUGAGUAACCUGCCCUUGAAUGUGGGAUAACUUCAGGAAACUGGGGCUAAUACCGGGUAGGAUCUCCUGCUCCACGGGGGGGGUUGGAAAGUUUCGGUGGUUGGGGAUGGACUAGCGGCUUACCAGCUUGUUGGGGGGGUAGUGGCUUACCAAGGCUUUGAGGGGUAGCCGGCCUGAGAGGCUGACCGGCCACCAUGGGACUGAGAGACGGCCCAGACUCCUACGGGCGGCAGCAGUGGGGAAUAUUGCAGAAUGGGCGGACGCCUGAUGCAGCAACGCCGCGUGCGGGAUGACGGCCUUCGGGUUGUAAACCGCUUUCGCCUGUGACGAAGAGUGAGUGACGGUAAUGGGUAAAGAAGCACCGGCUAACUACGUG
This 468-nucleotide ribosomal RNA is filed under the name uncultured bacterium. RNAcentral describes it as "partial 16S ribosomal RNA". It matches the Rfam family "Bacterial small subunit ribosomal RNA", at positions 28 to 507 of the family's 1533-position model. The record is from RNAcentral.